Molecule: ribosomal RNA, 491 nt
Filed under: uncultured bacterium
Lineage: Bacteria
Description: bacterial SSU rRNA
Rfam family: Bacterial small subunit ribosomal RNA
Source: RNAcentral
AUCCUGGCUCAGGAUGAACGCUGGCGGCGUGCUUAACACAUGCAAGUCGAACGAAGCACUUUUGAUUGAUUCUUCGGAUGAAAGAGAUUGUGACUGAGUGGCGGACGGGUGAGUAACGCGUGGGUAACCUGCCUCAUACAGGGGGAUAACAGUUAGAAAUGACUGCUAAUACCGCAUAAGCGCACGGUAUCGCAUGAUACAGUGUGAAAAACUCCGGUGGUAUGAGAUGGACCCGCGUCUGAUUAGCUAGUUGGUGGGGUAACGGCUCACCAAGGCAACGAUCAGUAGCCGGCCUGAGAGGGUGAACGGCCACAUUGGGACUGAGACACGGCCCAAACUCCUACGGGAGGCAGCAGUGGGGAAUAUUGGACAAUGGGGGAAACCCUGAUGCAGCGACGCCGCGUGAGUGAAGAAGUAUUUCGGUAUGUAAAGCUCUAUCAGCAGGGAAGAAAAUGACGGUACCUGACUAAGAAGCCCCGGCUAACUACGUG